RNAcentral lists this ribosomal RNA (405 nucleotides) under uncultured prokaryote. RNAcentral's name for it is "bacterial SSU rRNA". It matches the Rfam family "Bacterial small subunit ribosomal RNA", at positions 355 to 774 of the family's 1533-position model. The record is from RNAcentral.
UGGGGGAUAUUGCACAAUGGGCGAAAGCCUGAUGCAGCAACGCCGCGUGAGGGAAGACGGUCUUCGGAUUGUAAACCUUUAGCUUUGGGGAAGAAACAAAUGACGGUACCCAAAGGGGCAGCCACGGCUAACUACGUGCCAGCAGCCGCGGUAAUACGUAGGUGGCAAGCGUUGUCCGGAAUUACUGGGUGUAAAGGGAGCGCAGGCGGGGAGACAAGUCAGCUGUGAAAACUAUGGGCUUAACCCAUAGAUUGCAGUUGAAACUGUUUUUCUUGAGUGGAGUAGAGGUAGGCGGAAUUCCGAGUGUAGCGGUGAAAUGCGUAGAUAUUCGGAGGAACACCAGUGGCGAAGGCGGCCUACUGGGCUCUAACUGACGCUGAGGCUCGAAAGUGUGGGGAGCAAACA